CCCAGCUUGGUACAGUGGUUUGAGCAUUGGACUAUGACUCUGGAGACCAGGGUUCAAUUCCCACUUGGCC
Non-coding RNA from Phrynosoma platyrhinos (Desert horned lizard), 70 nucleotides. The record is from the annotation of a GenBank genome assembly. Lineage: Eukaryota; Metazoa; Chordata; Lepidosauria; Squamata; Phrynosomatidae.